AUUGAACGCUGGCGGAAUGCUUUACACAUGCAAGUCGAACGGCAGCACGGGGGCAACCCUGGUGGCGAGUGGCGAACGGGUGAGUAAUACAUCGGAACGUGCCCGGUCGUGGGGGAUAACGUAGCGAAAGUUACGCUAAUACCGCAUACGAUCUGAGGAUGAAAGCGGGGGACCUUCGGGCCUCGCGCGAUCGGAGCGGCCGAUGUCAGAUUAGGUAGUUGGUGGGGUAAAGGCCUACCAAGCCGACGAUCUGUAGCUGGUCUGAGAGGACGACCAGCCAAACUGGGACUGAGACACGGGCCAGACUCCUACGGGAGGGAGCCGUGGGGAAUUUUGGACAAUGGGCGCAAGCCUGAUCCAGCCAUUCCGCGUGCAGGACGAAGGCCUUCGGGUUGUAAACUGCUUUUGUAUGGAACGAAAAGGCUCUGGCUAAUACCUGGGGCUCAUGACGGUACCGUAAGAAUAAGCACCGGCUAACUACGUG
Molecule: ribosomal RNA, 484 nt
Filed under: uncultured bacterium
Lineage: Bacteria
Description: partial 16S ribosomal RNA
Rfam family: Bacterial small subunit ribosomal RNA
Source: RNAcentral